AGUGAACGCUGGCGGCGUGGUUUAGGCAUGCAAGUCGAGCGCGAAAGCACCCUUCGGGGUGCCGGUAGAGCGGCGAAAGGGUGAGUAAUGCAUAGGCAACGUACCCCCGGGACCGGAAUAGCUGCUGGAAACGGCAGGUAAUGCCGGAUGGCCAGCACGGAUGGCAUCGUCCGUGUUGUAAACGGUUGGGCAACCUUCUGCCAGGGGAGCGGCCUAUGUCCUAUUAGCUUGUUGGUGAGGUAACGGCUCACCAAGGCGACGAUGGGUAGCCGGACUGAGAGGUUGGCCGGUCACACUGGGACUGAGACACUGCCCAGACUCCUACGGGAGGCUGCAGUCGAGAAUCUUCCGCAAUGGACGCAAGUCUGACGGGGCGACGCCGCGUGAGGGAUGAAGGCCUUCGGGUUGUAAACCUCUGUUGCACGCUAGGAAACCUUGGGGGUUAAUAGCCUUCCAAGCUGACCAUCGUGUGAGGAAGCACAGGCUAACUCCGUGCCAGCAACCGCGGUAAUACGGAGUGUGCAAGCGUUACUCGGAAUCACUGGGCAUAAAGCGCACGUAGGCGGGUCGUCAAGUCGGUAGUGAAAGCCCCCAGCUCAACUGGGGAACUGCUACCGAAACUG
RNAcentral lists this ribosomal RNA (623 nucleotides) under uncultured bacterium. RNAcentral's name for it is "bacterial SSU rRNA". It matches the Rfam family "Bacterial small subunit ribosomal RNA", at positions 28 to 635 of the family's 1533-position model. The record is from RNAcentral.